This is a long non-coding RNA of Anopheles coustani, 1208 nucleotides long. RefSeq lists it as uncharacterized. Lineage: Eukaryota; Metazoa; Arthropoda; Insecta; Diptera; Culicidae. The record is from RefSeq and is a predicted model, not a curated record. The transcript is spliced from 3 exons.
UCGUCUGACUGGGAAGGAACGGCAGUUUGCUGUUUCCUUCUGUUUGACAACAUUCUGGUCGAUGACAGGAGGAUUUAGACACUCUAUAAAUGGGAAUGGAUCAUUAAGCUUCAGCAUCAGUUCCUCGGAAGCUCAACACGAUCGGGCCAGCGCCAUACAACUGCAUCAUUAUAGUUCCCGAAAGACAAAUAUUAAGUUCUUCAAUUUAUAUCAAUCAAUUUUGCGAGCUAGAUAAGUAUCAAGUUAAUCAUCUAGCUACGCUUAAGAAAGGUACUGCAUAAGGUGCUUGGAUUCGUACAACAUCUGAUCAAACUUUUCUUACAUUGAAUAGCACAACAGGAAAAAAGUGUAAAGUGAGUUUGAACGUGGCUUAUCUAGAGUAGAAACGGCUUCCAAUGUCAGUGAGUCGCAUGCUAACGGAGAACUUCACCAUGGUAGAUACAUCGCCCUGGAGGACUAGCAUUAAUUUAAGCUGCUAGCUACGCAUAUGACAGGAUGUCUUAUACACUACCGGCUUGCAAAAUCAGAUUCAACAUCCGAUCGCUGAUGCAUACGACAUGCGAGGGAACCUUUGGAUUGAUCGUCCAUAUGCCUGACCAGGACAAAGGGGGACAGCUGCUUCAGAACGUGAAUGAGAUUAGUUUGGUUUGACCGAGCUCAUAUUAGAAAAGUAGACUUCAGAAAACAACAACAGCUAAGCAACACGUAAGUCAUUGUGCUACCAUUCGGUUUGAUUGAUUUCUUUGAGUUGCAACGACUUAUUCAAUCUGAUUUAACAACCAGACGUGUCUACCUUUACACUUUAUUGUCGGGCGCUUGUUACCCAACACUUGCUGUUGUCACACACAUGCGCGUGCUGCUCGUGGGAGCGCCGCACGACAAUCAGCGUUCAGUCGAAUGAGGACGGGUAUGUUCGUUCCCUUGUCGACAAAGUAUUAAGCAAGCAACCUUUCCUCUUUCAUUUCACUUUGGACAACUUACUUAAGUUAAAGUCUAAGAAGAAAGCGUUGCUUUAUGACGCAACUGUUAUACACUCUUAUCCAGUAAGAUGGGUCUGACAUUGCUAUUAGCACGCCUUACACACCAUUACAAUGCAUUAAGAUUAUCGUCAUCAAUAAGUCCUAGAAGUAAGUACGGGAGGAUGCAAAACGAUCUUUAGAUGAGUAGGAGUUAGGUUACAGAAAAGUAACUAAUAAAAGUUAUAACGC